This 425-nucleotide ribosomal RNA is filed under the name uncultured bacterium. RNAcentral's name for it is "bacterial SSU rRNA". It matches the Rfam family "Bacterial small subunit ribosomal RNA", at positions 354 to 796 of the family's 1533-position model. The record is from RNAcentral.
GUGGGGAAUAUUGGACAAUGGGCGCAAGCCUGAUCCAGCAAUGCCGCGUGGGUGAAGAAGGUCUUCGGAUCGUAAAGCCCUUUCGACAGGGACGAUGAUGACGGUACCUGUAGAAGAAGCCCCGGCUAACUUCGUGCCAGCAGCCGCGGUAAUACGAAGGGGGCUAGCGUUACUCGGAAUUACUGGGCGUAAAGGGCGCGUAGGCGGCUCUGUUAGUCAGGCGUGAAAUUCCUGGGCUUAACCUGGGGACUGCGCUUGAUACUGCAGGGCUUGAGGCCGAGAGAGGGUGGUGGAAUUCCCAGUGUAGAGGUGAAAUUCGUAGAUAUUGGGAAGAACACCGGUGGCGAAGGCGACCACCUGGCUCGGUUCUGACGCUGAGGCGCGACAGCGUGGGGAGCAAACAGGAUUAGAAACCCCAGUAGUCC